This 472-nucleotide long non-coding RNA is filed under the name Gorilla gorilla gorilla (western lowland gorilla). Its description in RNAcentral is "lncRNA (ENSGGOG00000044612.1)". The record is from RNAcentral. Lineage: Eukaryota; Metazoa; Chordata; Mammalia; Primates; Hominidae.
CACAUACGGGUAGUCACUGAGAAGAGGACAGCUGGCUACAAAUAUCAACAGGCUUUAACGGUCUUCUUUCCUUCAAGUCCAGUUCUUUGAAAGUCCAAAUUUGCUCUGAACUGACUUCAAGCAAGUGCCCACUCUCCAACAAAUUACUGAGGCUGGAGGAUAAAGACACAAAUUGGCCAAACUUGGAUUACCUGCCUUCUGCAUCUUAAAGGAGUCAGUCCCAACUAUAAAUUUAAGAGGAUCACGGAAACACCCACAAACUUAUGAGGAUCACAGAAAACACCCCUACACCAACUUAUAGCCAAUCUAUUCAACGUGCAUUGUUAGCAGGAGGAGAUUUUUCAGCUUUUGAAGUCUGCAUACCUUCAAGUAAAUUCUUCAAAAACAGCCAAGACAUUUUAAGAUGAGGAGCUACAGAACAGUGCUCAAGAUGAGACUUUAUUUCCCCGCAUUAAUGCAAUGGCCUUAUUCU